AUAAUGAUACUUCUCUACGGAGCCGGUGGCGAACCCAGCGGGGGUGAAAUUCCCAUGA
The submitters of this non-coding RNA (58 nucleotides) gave its source as unclassified sequences. The record is from Rfam.